Molecule: ribosomal RNA, 167 nt
Filed under: uncultured bacterium
Lineage: Bacteria
Description: partial 16S ribosomal RNA
Rfam family: Bacterial small subunit ribosomal RNA
Source: RNAcentral
GCUAGUAAUCGCAGAUCAGCAUGCUGCGGUGAAUACGUUCCCGGGCCUUGUACACACCGCCCGUCACACCAUGAGAGUCGAUAACACCCGAAGCCUGUAGUCUAACCAUAAGGGGGACGCAGUCGAAGGUGGGAUUGAUAAUUAGGGUGAAGUCGUAACAAGGUAAC